CAAUAGCGUAUAUUAAAGUUGUUGCGGUUAAAAAGCUCGUAGUUGGAUUUCUGCGAAGGACGAACGGUCCACCUUAUGGGUGUGCAUCUGUCAGGCCUUUGCAUCCUCGUGGGGAACGUCGCUGCGCUUCAUUGCGUGGUACGGAAUCCACGACUUUUACUUUGAGGAAAUUAGAGUGUUCACGGCAGGCAAGCGCCUUGAAUACAUUAGCAUGGAAUAAUAAUAUAGGAUCGCGAUUCUAUUUUGUUGGUUUCUAGAAUCACGAUAAUGAUUAAUAGGGAUAAUUGGGGGCAUUUGUAUUAACGCGUCAGAGGUGGAAUUCUUGGAUUGCGUUACGACAAACUACUGCGAAAGCAUUUGCCAAGGAUGUUUUCAUUGAUCAAGAACGAAAGUAUGGGGAUCGAAGAUGAUUAGAUACCAU
This 421-nucleotide ribosomal RNA is filed under the name uncultured eukaryote. RNAcentral describes it as "bacterial SSU rRNA". It matches the Rfam family "Eukaryotic small subunit ribosomal RNA", at positions 592 to 1018 of the family's 1831-position model. The record is from RNAcentral.